GGGGGUGUGGCUCAGUUAGUAGAGUGCUUGUCUAGCAUGCUUGAAACUCUGGGUUCGAUCCCCAGCCCCG
Molecule: transfer RNA, 70 nt
Filed under: Mesocricetus auratus (golden hamster)
Lineage: Eukaryota; Metazoa; Chordata; Mammalia; Rodentia; Cricetidae
Rfam family: tRNA
About the family: Transfer RNA (tRNA) molecules are approximately 80 nucleotides in length. Their secondary structure includes four short double-helical elements and three loops (D, anti-codon, and T loops). Further hydrogen bonds mediate the characteristic L-shaped molecular structure. tRNAs have two regions of fundamental functional importance: the anti-codon, which is responsible for specific mRNA codon recognition, and the 3' end, to which the tRNAs corresponding amino acid is attached (by aminoacyl-tRNA synthetases). tRNAs cope with the degeneracy of the genetic code in two manners: having more than one tRNA (with a specific anti-codon) for a particular amino acid; and 'wobble' base-pairing, i.e. permitting non-standard base-pairing at the 3rd anti-codon position.
Source: Rfam by way of RNAcentral